Oncorhynchus keta (chum salmon) is the source of this 2555-nucleotide long non-coding RNA. RefSeq lists it as uncharacterized. NCBI's taxonomy places the organism in Eukaryota, Metazoa, Chordata, Actinopteri, Salmoniformes, Salmonidae. The transcript is spliced from 5 exons. The record is from RefSeq and is a predicted model, not a curated record.
GUUGGCUGUAGAGGGGGUCAGGCUGGCUGUAGAGGGGGACAGGUUGGCUGUAGACGGGGUCAGGCUGGCUGUAGAGGGGGUCAGGUUGGCUGUAGAGGGGCUCAGGCUGGCUGUAGAGGGGCUCAAGCUGGCUAUAGAGGGGCUCAGGCUGGCUGUAGAGGGGCUCAGGCUGGCUGUAGAGGGGCUCAGGCUGGCUGUAGAGGGGGUAUCAGUAGGGUUGGAGGUGGAGUUGAUGGAUAUGCUGCCUUCAACAGAAACUUCCUCUGCUCUGGACCCCAUCAGCACCAGGAGGCCUGGAGGACAGGAGAAAUAUAGGAAGCAGCUCAUUCAGACUCAUCCGACACAUGCUGACUAAACAUAUCAGGUAACACACACUGUGAUAGGGAGGGAAUGGAUGGAAAGAAGAGAGAGAUAACAUAGAGGGAGAGAUAACACAGAGAACAGAGAGAGAGAGAGAACAGAUAGAGAUAAUUGAGAGAGAGAGAGAGAGAGAACAGAGAGAGAUAACAGAGAGGGAGAGAUAACACAGAGAACAGAGAGAGAGAGAUAACAGAGAGAGAUAACAGAGAGGGAGAGAUAACACAGAUAACAGAGAGAGAUAAUUGAGAGGGAGAGAGAGAACAGAGAGAGAUAACAGAGAGGGAGAGAUAACCUCAGAGAACACAGAGAGAUAGAUAACAGAGAGAGAUAACAGAGAGGGAGAGAUAACACAGAGAACAGAGAGAGAUAACAGAGAGAGAGAGGGAGAAAUAACAAAGAGAACAGAGAGGGAGAGAGAGAACAGAGAGAUAAUUGAGAGAGGAAAUAAGUGUUGUAGAACAAUAUACAAUUGAUAAACUCACCCAGGACAUAGAUCUGAAUGCAGAUCGAUGGCAUAUUGAUGAUUUAUCACCUUAUGAGUUUGGACAGUACCAAGUCUGUCACACGUGUAGAGACGAAAGUAAAGUAUGUUUCCCCUCAGCGUCUCUCUCUUGACAGGAAUUGAGUCACAGACCACAAACCGCUAGCUGGGCUGUCUCUUAGUAGACUAUAGCAACUUCUCCUCGUCACCUCUGUAUCCUCAUAUUAGAUUAAACCAACAUACUGUAGGUAUUCAACUCUGACCCUACAAACUCUGCAGUUUUCACUUCUACCUGAUUACUAAUACAACCCAGGUCUAAUUCAGUCCCUGAUUAGAGGGGAAUCACCCACCUGGUGUCCCAGAUCUAAUUCAGUCCCUGAUUAGAGGGGAAUCACCUACCUGGUGUCCCAGAUCUAAUUCAGUCCCUGAUUAGAGGGGAAUCACCCACCUGGUGUCCCAGAUCUAAUUCAGUCCCUGAUUAGAGGGGAAUCACCCACCUGGUGUCCCAGAUCUAAUUCAGUCCCUGAUUAGAGGGGAAUCACCCACCUGGUGUCCCAGGUCUAAAUCAGGCCCUGAUUAGAGGGGAAUCACCCACCUGGUGUCCCAGAUCUAAUUCAGUCCCUGAUUAGAGGGGAAUCACCCACCUGGUGUCCCAGAUCUAAUUCAGUCCCUGAUUAGAGGGGAAUCACCCACCUGGUGUCCCAGGUCUAAAUCAGGCCCUGAUUAGAGGGGAAUCACCCACCUGGUGUCCCAGGUCUAAAUCAGGCCCUGAUUAGAGGGGAAUCACCCACCUGGUGACACAGGUCUAAAUCAGACACUGAUUUGAGGGGAAUCACCCACCUGGUGUCCCAGGUCUAACUCAGUCCCUGAUUAGAGGGGAAUCACCCACCUGGUGUCCCAGGUCUAAAUCAGGCCCCUAUUAGAGGGGAAUCACCCACCUGGUGUCCCAGGUCUAAAUUCAGUCCCCGAUUAGAGGGGAAUCACCCACCUGGUGUCCCAGGUCUAAAUCAGGCCCCUAUUAGAGGGGAAUCACCCACCUGGUGUCCCAGAUCUAAUUCAGUCCCUGAUUAGAGGGGAAUCACCCACCUGGUGUCCCAGGUCUAAAUCAGGCCCUGAUUAGAGGGGAAUCACCCACCUGGUGUCCCAGGUCUAAAUCAGGCCCUGAUUAGAGGGGAAUCACCCACCUGGUGUUCCAGGUCUAACUCAGUCCCUGAUUAGAGGGGAAUCACCCACCUGGUGACACAGGUCUAAAUCAGACACUGAUUUGAGGGGAAUCACCCACCUGGUGUCCCAGGUCUAAACCAGUCCCUGAUUAGAGGGGAAUCACUCACCUGGUGUCCCAGGUCUAAAUCAGGCCCCGAUUAGAGGGGAAUCACCCACCUGGUGUCCCAGGUCUAAAUCAGUCCCCGAUUAGAGGGGAAUCACCCACCUGGUGUCCCAGGUCUAAAUCAGUCCCCGAUUAGAGGGGAAUCACCCACCUGGUGUCCCAGGUCUAAAUCAGUCCCCGAUUAGAGGGGAAUCACCCACCUGGUGUCCCAGGUCUAAACCAGUCCCUGAUUAGAGGAGAAUCACCCACCUGGUGUCCCAGGUCUAAACCAGUCCCUGAUUAGAGGAGAAUCACCUACCUGGUGUCCCAGGUCUAAACCAGUCCCUGAUUAGAGGAGAAUCACCCACCUGGUGUCCCAGGUCUAAACCAGUCCCUGAUUAGAGGGGA